UUUUGUUUUUGGGUUAUAUCCCAAAAAAAUCGCUUGCCUUGCGAUAAACCCUAGCCUCUACUCCAUUCAUUUAUGUUUUUCUUUCUUUAAUUUUUAAUUUUUAAUUUUUCAUCUGUUUUUAGAAAUUCGUGGUACUUUGACCGUUCAUGUAGACACUAUAAGAUCAUUUAGCGGAUGCUGUGGCUUUUGUUUAGUUUCUGGAACGUUAACUCACUGCCGCCGCCUCCGCCUCCACCACCUGCACCACUUCUACCACCAGUACCAUCUCCUUCCACGUCACACAUGGGUUACUUUGCCUAAUGUUACUUGAACUCGGGUGUGAGUGUUGGAUAUGGGUAUGUAUUUGACAUGGUUAUGGUUAGAUUUUUCCAAGUUAUGGUUUGCGGUCAUGUUACUUGUAUUCAGGUUUGUCAGAUGCAAUUAUGUGUUUCAUAGGGAUAUUUUUUUUCUUAUGCAUUUCGUGAAUAGAAAGCAAGCAAUUGGGAUUAUUCCAUAUGACAGUAUGAAGGAACCCAUGGAAAUGUUUUUUCUUGUAUUGAGAUUUGAAGGAUCCUUGAAACUGUUUAAGGAAAAAUUUUGAAUUAAGCGUUGAUUAGGUUUUAGCUGAUGCAUCUUUUGAGUGCUGGCAUUUUGUUGAAGCUAUCUUUUUCAAUGUUUUUUAAACUGGACCCCGGUGGUUGAAUCGGUCUAGCCGGUCCGAUUGGUUCAACCGGUCUGAUUAAAAAAUCAUUAAAAAUUCAAAAAAUAAAAAAUAAAAUAUUCAGUUUAUCCGGUCCGUAGUCCGUACCAGUUCCUAGGUCAACUGGUUCAAAGCCGCUCUCUGGACCGGUACCCUGGCCGGUUCCCUGUCCAACUGGUCUGGCCGGCCGGUCCGGUUCAAACAGCAUUGAUCUUUUUUAACUCCAUAGCUAUCUUGGGUUUUUUUGCUCUAAUACAAAUAUAUUACAAGGGUUUGGAAACUCAUUGAAUUUGUAACUAGCUUUUUGUAGUUAGUGUUUGGCCCAAUGAUGGAAAACUCAUCGAAUAGAGCAGUUAUUUCUGAUUUUCAUUUUGAACAUUCGCCAUCAUCAUUAUUAUCAUCAUCUGUCUUUGCUUUCUUCAUCAUCAAUCAUCAUCAUUUUCUUCAGCAGCAACAAUCAACUGAAACAUGAUUUGCUCUCUCUCUCUCUCUCUCUCUCUCUCUUUAUAUAUAUUUAUCUAUCUUUUUUACACAGAUUAUGAGGUGGGAAGGUUCUUAAUGAGAAUCAGUUGGUUAACUGUGAUGACCAAUACUUCUUACAAAUGAGAUCUGAGGGCCUUUCUGAUCUUGUCUUGAAUGUCUCAACUGUAUAAUUGGUGUUUUUAUACCAUGAAAAUCCUUUGUUGGUUUUUUUCUUUUUUAUGAUGAUUACUUGUGUUGCACCCAACUUUUCGUUUUUCUCAAAAGCAUCCAUGGCCAUUCAUGUUUGUUGCAUAUCUUGACAUGGGUAUCAGGAUAUGAUCUUCUAAGAACUCCCAAAAUACAUAAGAAGAAAAAUUGAACAUUUUCGUAUUUGACACAAGCGAUUGGUUUAACAUAGGUAAUUACGUUAAAGAAAAGUUAAUGUUGCUACUUCUGCAGCUAUUAUUGUUAUUCUUCUCUUAAGAAGUGGGUCGACUUUAGUAAAUAUCAUCACAUUGUCGUUUGAUUAUGAUACUUACAAGGCCAUCACCUUUGACCCUUCAAUAAAAAGUUAACGGGUUUUAUUUUUGUUAUUUCUUUGGGUAGUAUUGGAUGAAAAAGCAGCAUUAUCGAUGGGUGCUGGUGUUUGUGCUUGAAUCCACACAUAGGGUCAAGGUUCGUCAUUGUUGGUUCGUGUUUGAUUCUUUGACAUUAGGUCAAGAGACCGCUCUUCUUGAGUCUUAAGGGAAAGGGUUUUGAUCGAAUCUGAUUUGGGGUUUAACGGGUUUUAUUUUUGUUAUUUCUUUGGGUAGUAUUGGAUGAAAAAGCAGCAUUAUCGAUGGGUGCUGGUGUUUGUGCUUGAAUCCACACAUAGGGUCAAGGUUCGUCAUUGUUGGUUCGUGUUUGAUUCUUUGACAUUAGGUCAAGAGACCGCUCUUCUUGAGUCUUAAGGGAAAGGGUUUUGAUCGAAUCUGAUUUGGGGUUUGAAGACCUUGUUUCUUGGGGUAUCAACUUGGGGUUUUGCAUUUGUCGAGAAAGGAUUAUAUGAAACUGAAAUACCAUGAAAUUUGUAUUACUUUCUAAUAAUUUAAUGCCAUUUCAACAUUUUCAUCUUGAAAAAAAUCAAAUUCAAAAUAAUGUCAAAUUUUUGAAUGAAAAUGUAAAGUAAUAUUUAAUUAUUGGAAAAGGAUACAAGUGACAUGGUAUCUAAGUUUCAUAUAAUCCAUUCUCGUGUGUUGGCACUUGCACUAUAUUAUACUUGAAAUACCAUGUUUACUUGUAUGGUGGUGUAUAUGACAAACAUUGAAUCAACGUCUUUCACUUUCUCAUGACAUCUUUGGAACCCCAAGACAUUUGAUUGUUUGGAGUAUUUGUCUACUUUUUCGCCAAUGACAGAUCACAUUAUAGUGGUUGCAUAGAUUAUUCACCAGGGUCUAAAUGAUACAGAUGGUGACAAGGUGUGGUUGGUUUUAGUUGAUUUUGAAGAGAUUGAAAACAGCGGUGAUGAUGGGAUGACAGUGAUUUCUUUGUUUAAUAAAAUGUUGUGUGGUGGUAACUAUCACUUAUGAGGAAAGAUCGAGAACUUCAAGAAGCAAAUGGUGUGGUGGAUGAUGACAAGUAUCUUAUAAGCUAAAUGUAAUCAUUUCAGAAACCUUUGAUUUUCUACAAAUUUCUUCUUCAUUUGGUUUUUGAGAUUGGAAAUUCAAUGGAAGAAGCAAAAACCUUGUUCAUUUCAUUUUUCUCCUAAACGAAAAUGAGAAUGCAAGUCAUGUUUUCACUUGUUCUUUCA
Molecule: long non-coding RNA, 2930 nt
Organism: Gossypium raimondii (Peruvian cotton)
Lineage: Eukaryota; Viridiplantae; Streptophyta; Magnoliopsida; Malvales; Malvaceae
Exons: 2
Source: RefSeq, a predicted model, not a curated record